RNAcentral lists this long non-coding RNA (1405 nucleotides) under Equus caballus (horse). RNAcentral describes it as "lncRNA (ENSECAG00000046053.1)". The record is from RNAcentral. Lineage: Eukaryota; Metazoa; Chordata; Mammalia; Perissodactyla; Equidae.
CAAAGCCCCCCGGUACAUAGCUGUGUAUUCUUCGUUGUGGGUUCCUCUAGUUGUGGCAUGUGGGACGCCGCCCCAGCGUGGCCCGACGAGCAGUGCCAUGUCCGCGCCCAGGAUUCGAACCGACGAAACACUGGGCCGCCUGCAGCGGAGCGCACGAACUUAACCACUCGGCCACGGGGCCAGCCCCCAUGACCUUGACACUUUUGAAGAGUACUGGUGUGGUACAAGACGUUGACAGGUCUUAUUACUGCCGAUGUUGACCUUGCUCACUUGGUUAAGAUAAAAAUUGCAAUAUGAAAAGAUAAUUCUUCCCGACUGUCAGAACCCAUUAGAAUUUCUACGGCCUGAUGCUCUUUAAGAACAAGAAGGACAAUUAAGAAAACAACACCACCACCUGGUUCCCAUUUAAAAAAGAAAAAUCGGACUGGAGAUUUGCAAUGCUGACCUCCUGAGACGGAAAGGUGAAUAAGAGUCAAAGAAAAAGAGAGAAAGACAGAAAAAGUGAGUGAGAGAGAGAACAGAAAAAGAGCAAGAUUUUAUUAAUUGUGGCAUUACCAUGUGUAAGCCGGAGCAUAGACCAUUGAUGCAGAUGCCUGACUUGCUGAUCCAGCCUGUGUGUCAGUACUGAGACCAACUUCAUCUUUCUGAAAUCACUCCGGGGUCAUGUCCAGCUCUUAGUAUUCUUUUUCUGAUGUGGAGGCAGAUGCCAAGAAGUUCUGAAUUAACAAGAAAAUCGUGACUAAAGGAUGGGGAGCAGAACCAGUAAAGUUUACAAAUGGAUAUUCUUAGACCCAGAAGAAAGAAAGGAGAAAAAAAACCCUUUAAUAUCUCCAGUGAUGAAUCCUUCUGAUAUAAUUAAUCUGUCAUAGUUUAACUGUUCUGGCAAAACUACUCUGCACAUGUUAACAUUUUCCUCUGUGUGAUUUAAGGCACUAGUUAUAUACAUUUAAUUUGCAUAAGUGAAUGUAUUCAUAUAACUGUUUAUGGAAUGAUAGAUUAAUAUUCAAAUACGUUCUUUUUGAAGUUUCUUUGGUAUUCUUAAGAUAUAAAAUUUUGACAUGUUAAAAUAUAAAAGAUGAUUUUAUGCUUUGUUGAAACUAUUGGAAUGAAAUAAAAAAGCAAUAACAAGUCAUAGUUCUUGGCUUAUAAUGAAGAAAGUAAAGCUGGUUUUGAAUAAUUUACAUUUUUACAUAAAAGUCAAAUGUUGUAAUAAUUAUAUUUGUUUCUUUUGUGAAAAAUGCAACUAAAUGAAUAUCCUCAUUCAAUUAGAACCCAUCAAACACGUGAACUAAACUUGAUGGCCUAUUACUUGGUGUUCAAGUUUGUGGAAUGCCUGAAGUUUGUCCUUGUGUAAACCAGCUAUUAAAUGCAAAUUUAGGUCAGAUUUAUGAGAAUACGUAUUUCC